GGCAACUGCCAAGCAGCUUGAUGAAAAAAGAUCAACUGUUGGAGCAAUUAUUACAAAAUGGAAGAAGCUAAGCAUGACUGUCAAUCUCCCUCGGACUGGAGCUCCAUGCAAGAUCCUACCUCGUGGUGUAUCAAUGAUACUAAGAAAGGUGAAGAAUCAGCCCAGAACUGCACGGGAGGAGCUGUGUUGCCACCUGUCCCGGUUUUUCCUGAUUGUCCCGGAUUUUCAUGAUCUGUCCCGGAAAAAAAAAA
Long non-coding RNA from Thalassophryne amazonica, 251 nucleotides. RefSeq lists it as uncharacterized. The record is from RefSeq and is a predicted model, not a curated record. NCBI's taxonomy places the organism in Eukaryota, Metazoa, Chordata, Actinopteri, Batrachoidiformes, Batrachoididae. The transcript is spliced from 2 exons.